UACACAAUUCUCAUAGUAAUCAUUCUUCAAAAGUGUCCCCUAAAACUCCUCCCCUGCCAUUUGAUCACAACCAAAAGCCCCUACUCCCUGUAAAAAUCCUAUCCCACCUGCCCACAAACAAUUGAAAUAAUGUCAAUAUCUUACCCACAAAACAUUCAUAUAUAAAACUUAAGGUUUACAGUUGGAUAUUUAAUCCUUUUCUAUGCUUCAGGAUUAAUAUUUGAGUGGUUCCUUCCUCUUCCUAAAAAAAACUCAUUCUCCCAUUCACCCUUACUACAUUAUCAACUAUAAUUUCCCAGAUUAUAAAAGACAAAGAUAAUAUGAAAGUUACCAUUUUACAUCAAAUGCUAUACUUUACUAACAUCCUACCACUUGGAAGGUUCUUUUUCGCCCUUACUAUUGACAUUUAAAAGGGCAGUAAAGGGUCCAGAUGAAUAAAUUGUAGCAUCAAGAACAUAUUAAAGUUAGAACGACUAUUAAAUGACUUUCUUAAUUUAUGUGCAUAAAACUAAAACGACUAUUAUUAUGGAAUGGAGGUAGUAAUAUAAAGUGAAAGAAUUAGACUUAAGAUAAUAGAACUUACCUUGGAGUUCCCCUGUUGCAAGCUCGUGCUUGGCUUAUGCUAUCAUAAGAUUCAAAACUAUACAAAUCGAUUGCGAAUGAGGAGGUGGAUUGAGAGAUUGACAUCGUUAAUGAGGAGGUGGGUUUGUUGUCGUUGAUGCGGAAAUUCAAAUUCACCAUUGGAUAGAUAGUUACCAUUUACCAAGUGAGGAAGUAAAAAAGAGGAACUGAGGGAGAUGAAGAGGUAAUUGAACCAUUUUGCGAGAGGUGGAAACUAAAGCAUCAAUCCGUUAGUUCAUCCAAACUCAACUGAGUGGAAUUGGACAAUAUUUGAUUAUCCAACUUGGGGAAAGCAACAAAUAACUUAGUUGGGCAGAAGAAAACUCUUUAGGUAAAUAUACACCAAAACACUUGUAGGCAUUUCUAUGCUCAAUGAGAACAUCAUAUUCAUCCUAAUGCUUGUUCUCAGAUUCUCUGGGACAUAUAAGCCAUCAACAUAGGAUCACUUUCAAAAAAAUUGUCAAUUAAUUAUUAAAUUAUAGUACACAACAAUUAGCCAGCAAAUUGUCAUAAUUUCAAGCUAAAAUAACAAUUACUUUCACAAAAUUCUUAUGGAGGUUACAAAUAAAAUUGAGGACAACAAUGGCACCGCAUUGUCUCAGAAAAUGAUUUCAAGUAGUUAACUAUUUAGGUGUACUUCCUUCUUCUUACCGGCAUUUCACCAAAUACUUGGCAUGCAAUAUUGUGAGUUGCAUAAGGUAAAAAAAAUCAAAAAUGUACCUGUUAAUCUCUAGAUUGGACUAUAGUGAAGAAUUUAAGAUUUUGCCCAAAUUCAAACUUGUCGGUGGCUACCCAAUCUAGAUUUGAUUUCUUACACAUGAAAAUAUUUAUUUACUAAAAUAAACAACAUCUGCCCAACAUUGAAACAAAAAUGAAAACCAAAUCUUUGAAUGUAUAAUAACAGCCAAAUCUUUGAAUGUAUAAUAAGAGUGUUACCUUGAGAAAAACUUUGGUUGGAAAACUCGAGUGGUAUGCUCGAUGAAACUAUCAAUAUUGGUUGAUUUGUUUAUACUUCGCGAACGGGAAAGACGUUCUAUUCAUCAUUGUGGUCGAUAUUGUUGAAUUCGAUUAUUUGAUUUACACCUAUAGAUUUUCUCGUUCUAUUCAUCAUUGUGGCUGAUAUUGUCAAAUCCGAUUAUUUGAU
Molecule: long non-coding RNA, 1765 nt
Filed under: Panax ginseng (ginseng)
Lineage: Eukaryota; Viridiplantae; Streptophyta; Magnoliopsida; Apiales; Araliaceae
Description: long non-coding RNA (PGIN_LNC014998)
Source: RNAcentral